UACGAAGGGGGCUAGCGUUGUUCGGAAUCACUGGGCGUAAAGCGCACGUAGGCGGAUCUUUAAGUCAGGGGUGAAAUCCCGAGGCUCAACCUCGGGAACUGCCUUUGAUACUGGGGAUCUCGAGUCCGGGAGAGGUGAGUGGAACUGCGAGUGUAGAGGUGAAAUUCGUAGAUAUUCGCAAGAACACCAGUGGCGAAGGCGGCUCACUGGCCCGGAACUGACGCUGAGGUGCGGAAAGCGUGGGGAGCAAACAGG
This 255-nucleotide ribosomal RNA is filed under the name uncultured bacterium. Its description in RNAcentral is "partial 16S ribosomal RNA". It matches the Rfam family "Bacterial small subunit ribosomal RNA", at positions 524 to 776 of the family's 1533-position model. The record is from RNAcentral.